This 252-nucleotide ribosomal RNA is filed under the name uncultured bacterium. Its description in RNAcentral is "partial 16S ribosomal RNA". It matches the Rfam family "Bacterial small subunit ribosomal RNA", at positions 524 to 776 of the family's 1533-position model. The record is from RNAcentral.
UACGGGAGGGCAAGCGUUGUUCGGAAUUACUGGGCGUAAAGGGCUCGUAGGCGGCCAACUAAGUCAAACGUGAAAUCCCUCGGCUUAACCGGGGAACUGCGUCUGAUACUGGAUGGCUUGAGUUUGGGAGAGGGAUGCGGAAUUCCAGGUGUAGCGGUGAAAUGCGUAGAUAUCCGGAGGAACACCGGUGGCGAAGGCGGCUUCCUGGACCGACACUGACGCUGAGGCGCGAAAGCUAGGGGAGCAAACGGG